Molecule: long non-coding RNA, 3628 nt
Filed under: Podarcis lilfordi (Lilford's wall lizard)
Lineage: Eukaryota; Metazoa; Chordata; Lepidosauria; Squamata; Lacertidae
Source: RNAcentral
CUUAUGUCCAGGCUCUUAACUCUUUUCCAAGUCCCUUCUGCAGGUCUUCUUCAUUUUCUUUAAUGCUAAAGAGCCAAUCUCGGGGAAAUUCCAACCUGAGAUAGUCUUUCAAUACAGGAAGAGGCUGGAGCUGAUUCAAUAAGUCUGAAGUUGGUGAAUGGGAGGGCUGCUAGACAGAAAGCAAAACAGUCGGAAGGGGCAAUGGUUCAAUAUAUUCUGUAGGAACUGGAAGGAGUCUUCAGAAGGGUCCUCUUGAGUGAUAAUGUCGGCAGUAAGUAGGUCAGGUGAGCCAAAGCACAGAAUGAGGUCAGGCUUGCAAGAGAACUUAAAGCUAUUCUUUUUAAUUAAAAAAAAAAUCUGCAAUGUUUGAAGCAAGAGGAAAAACAAGCAAGUAGCAGGUCCUCUGUGAGGAGAAAAUGGAGAAAUGCUGUUGGGUGACAGAGAAGGUGUAACUGCACAACACCUACUUUGCCCCUGUCUUCACUCAGAAGGAAAGCAGCACCCAACCUGGUGAUAACAUAAUAAUAAAUGAUGCAAGUCCAAGAUAGGAAAAUAAAUGGUUUGGGACCAUGUAGCUACUUUAAAUGAAUUCACAUCUUCAGGGCCUGAUGAGCUGCAUCCAAUGGUUCUAAAAGAGUUUUCAGAUGUAACCUCAGAGCCUUUGUCUAUAAUCUUUGAGAAUUCUGGGAUAACAGGUGAGUUCCCUACAAACUGGAGGCGGGCAAAUGUUGUCCCCAUCUUCAAAAAGGAGAAAAAAGAAGACCCAGGUGCCUAUCAACUGGUCAAGGUGGUGGAUUCUCAUUCCUUGGAGGUUUUUAAACAGCUUGGAUGGUCAUUUCUUUCUUCUUUUUCCUCCUGUGUUGAGGCUGCAUUUUAAUACAUUAAUUUUUCAAUAUUUUAAUGUUGUAUUUUAACCUUGUUUUUAAGUUGUAUUCAUUCAACUUGUUUUUAUUAAUGCUUGUUAGCCACCCUGAGCCCGGCCUUGGCUGGGGAGGGCAGAGUAUAAAUAAUAAUAAUAAUAAUAAUAAUUAUUAUUAUUAUUAUUAUUAUUAUUAUUAUAUCUGUCAUGGAUGUUUCAGUUGAGAUUCCUGCAUUGCAGGGGGCUGGACUAGAUGAUCAUUAGGGUCCCUUCCAACUCUACAAUUCUAAGAUUCUAUGCUUCUAUGUACUAUUCAAAAUGAUGUUAGAGCAUAGCAGAUGUCAUAGUUAAUAACAUAACAUUUCUCCUACCUUCUUAAAUAGCUUGGGCCAGACAAUUGCUUCUGGGUUAAUGGUGAACUUCAGAUUUGAGGACCCUUGUCUCUCUAUUCUUCCAAUUUUCACUCUAGCAAGAGAGUUAUUAGGAAACAGCACCAGAUUCACAAUAUCAAAGUCAAUGGCCAGUGCCCCAUUCUCAUCCAAGUACUGUCCGUCAGCUGAAGUGUUAGAAUAGAACUGGACUUCUUUCAAGAAUGGAUGAAGCUGUAAUGACAGAGGAGUUUCCAGCACCAAGAGAACAUCAAACCAUGUUCAGCCCUUCUUACUCUGCUUUCUAAACUUCUCUGAACAAGAACCACUGUCUCUCUCAUCUGGACUUGUAGUGACCAUUCUAGAUUGUUAGGUCCCCGCAUUCUGCUUCAGAAUUUUGAGGAUGACCAAAGUUAGCAUAAUUACAUAUAUUAGGAAAGGUUGAUUACAGUGUUUAGAAAAUAUGUAAAGAAUGACGAAGAUGGCUUUAUUAAAAGUUUGCAAGCAUAUUGAUUAAUGAUAGUCUAAAAUGGUAGUGCUUGCAUGAGUGUGGUGUAGUGGUUAAGAGCGGUAGACUCGUAAUCUGGGGAACCGGGUUCGUGUCUCCGCUCCUCCACAUGCAGCUGCUGGGUGACCUUGGGCCAGUCACACUUCUUUGAAGUCUCUCAGCCUCACUCACCUCACAGAGUGUUUGUUAUGGGGGAGGAAGGGAAAGGAGAAUGUUAGCUGCUUUGAGACUCCUUCAGGUAGUGAUCAAGCAGCAUAUCAAAUCCAAACUCUUCUUCUUCUUCACUGAAGUAUUUUCCUCUAGUCCUAGCCUGCUUAUUAAAUUCUGUAAAAAGUCAGCUCCAAUAUCCAUAUUAGAUCUAGAUUCUGCAUAUUGUGACAUUUCAAAACUGCCCUGAUUUGGGAACCUUUCUGAAUUGCCACGCUAUGCAGUGUAUGAGGCUGAUAAUAAGUAGAUAAUUUCUGAAUUAGAGUUUCAUUCCAACUAGCUCUACAGCUCUCUCUAUGUUGAGCUGACUUUGAAGUCUGUCUGUAGGUUGCUGUCUGCAAGUCUGCAGGAAUAUAGCACUGAAUCUGUGAACCUGGCUUCCUGUACAAUGAUGGGCCAUUUCUGUUGUGUCCCACCUUCAACUCUAGGAGGAUUCCUGUCCCCUAGGAACCUGGAUCGGAAAAACACUCAUUUCUGCCAGCUGGUGAAAAAAACGUUAUUGUAUUAUUUUAACAUUGUAUUGUAUUUUCUGUUCAUUGCAUUUGCAUGAAAAACACCCUGGGGUCAUGUUGAUGUGAUGAAGGGUGGCUUAUAAAUUUGUAUGAAUAAAUGAAUAAAAUGCAUCACUGCAAUGCUUAACUCUGAAUGCAAAUUGAUGAGUGAAGAAGGGUAGCCCAAUUCUCAGAGCAUCUUUUUUUGCACACCAAAGGUCCCAGCUUCAAUCCCCAAUUGCAUCUCCAGGGUGAGGAGAGCGGGGAAAGAUACCCUUCCAGAAACAGUAGAGAACCACUGCUAGUCAGUCAAUGUAGACAGUGCUAAGCUAGAGAGGCCAAUGGUCUGACUCAGUGCAAGACAGUUUCCCCAUGAUCCUAUCAUGGUGAUUCCAGAGCUGGGACAACAAAUUGCAGGUUGCAAAAGGAAAAGGACAUACCUGCCAUGGCUCUAGCCUUGGAAGGUCCAAGCUGCCUCCUCCACCCACAAUCGACAUCCUCUUUGACCUGGAAGAAUAUGCAGCAUUCAAGGCCUGUGCCACAGUUUGGAUACUAAAGUAAUUCACGUAGCUGUCUUGGGACAGGAUUCUUUCAUUCUCUUCUUGGGGCAACAUCUCCAGAUUCUCCUUCUCCCUGCACUUUGUCAAACUCCUCACAGAUAAGGCAUGUUUUGGAUAUGAACAAUCAAAUGCUUUUCUCGAAUAGCUUAGACUGGCUGAAGACGUUGGCCAGUAGUAGUCCUUUUUCAUCCUUUUUUUGGUCUUCAUUACAAAGGACAAAGAGCCAUGGGCAUAUUGAAAGCAGGCAUUAUCAAGUAACAACAUUUUGUUCUGAAGACCUGUGGUUAUCCAGACUUUCCCCUCAGUUUGUAUCCUUUCCAGUAAGGAUUGUACCUCUAUGAUUAUAAAAAGUCCAUAUUGAGAGUCUGCAGAGUAAACAAAUACAUUGACUUGUCUCCACAUGGCAGGUGGUUCUUGGGGUGCCCACAGCCAAGUUUUAUGUACUACUCUUUUUGCGAAGGCAACACAGAUUUCCUUUUCCAUCAUCAGAGGUGUCAAGGUACUCAGGAAUCUUUCUCCAUUGUCAUUGUCUGGAACAAAGAGGCCGACCCAUGUCCACCUGAAAUGCAGGAGGAGUUGCACCACUCCUUGGUAUUGAAUUUCUUCCUUGGGAGCCAUUUGGUAGACAAAAGGGG